This 404-nucleotide ribosomal RNA is filed under the name uncultured bacterium. Its description in RNAcentral is "bacterial SSU rRNA". It matches the Rfam family "Bacterial small subunit ribosomal RNA", at positions 355 to 775 of the family's 1533-position model. The record is from RNAcentral.
UAGGGGAUAUUGGUGAAUGGGCGAAAGCCUGAACCAGCAACGCCGCGUGUGCGAUGAAGGCCUUCGGGUUGUAAAGCACUUUUUGCCGGGAAGAGGAAGGACGGUACCGGUAGAAUAAGCCUCGGCUAACUACGUGCCAGCAGCCGCGGUAAAACGUAGGAGGCGAGCGUUAUCCGGAUUUACUGGGUGUAAAGCGCGUGCAGGCGGUUGGAUAAGUUGGGUGUGAAAGCUCCUGGCUCAACUGGGAGAGGUCGCUCAAGACUGUCUGACUGGAGCGUGGUAGGGGAAGGCGGAAUUCCGGGUGUAGUGGUGAAAUGCGUAGAUAUCCGGAGGAACACCAGUGGCGAAAGCGGCCUUCUGGACCACGACUGACGCUCAGACGCGAAAGCUAGGGGAGCAAACGG